Molecule: ribosomal RNA, 253 nt
Filed under: uncultured bacterium
Lineage: Bacteria
Description: partial 16S ribosomal RNA
Rfam family: Bacterial small subunit ribosomal RNA
Source: RNAcentral
UACAGAGGUCCCAAGCGUUGUUCGGAUUCACUGGGCGUAAAGGGUGCGUAGGCGGUUGGGUAAGUCUGUCGUGAAAUCUCCGAGCCUAACUCGGAAACUGCGUCGGAUACUAUUCAACUCGAGGAAUGGAGGGGAGACUGGAAUUCUCGGUGUAGCAGUGAAAUGCGUAGAUAUCGAGAGGAACACCAGUGGCGGAGGCGAGUCUCUGGACAUUUCCUGACGCUGAGGCACGAAAGCCAGGGGAGCAAACGGG